CCUACGGGAGGCUGCAGUGAGGAAUAUUGGUCAAUGGACGAGAGUCUGAACCAGCCAAGUAGCGUGAAGGAUGACUGCCCUAUGGGUUGUAAACUUCUUUUAUAUGGGAAUAAAAUGUUCCACGUGUGGGAUUUUGUAUGUACCAUAUGAAUAAGGAUCGGCUAACUCCGUGCCAGCAGCCGCGGUAAUACGGAGGAUCCGAGCGUUAUCCGGAUUUAUUGGGUUUAAAGGGAGCGUAGGUGGAUGGUUAAGUCAGUUGUGAAAGUUUGCGGCUCAACCGUAAAAUUGCAGUUGAAACUGGCAGUCUUGAGUACAGUAGAGGUGGGCGGAAUUCGUGGUGUAGCGGUGAAAUGCUUAGAUAUCACGAAGAACUCCGAUUGCGAAGGCAGUUCACUGGACUGCAACUGACACUGAGGCUCGAAAGUGUGGGUAUCAAACAGGAUUAGAUACCCGAGUAGUC
Molecule: ribosomal RNA, 460 nt
Filed under: uncultured bacterium
Lineage: Bacteria
Description: partial 16S ribosomal RNA
Rfam family: Bacterial small subunit ribosomal RNA
Source: RNAcentral